CGAGGGGCCCCGCACAAGCAGCGGAGCGUGUGGUUUAAUUCGAUGUUACACGAAGAACCUUACCAACCCUUGACAUGGCAGUGACCGUCCCAGAGAUGGUUCUUUCUCGCAAGAGACACUGCACACAGGUGCUGCAUGGCUGUCGUCAGCUCGUGUCGUGAGAUGUUCGGUUAAGUCCGGCAACGAGCGCAACCCACGCCUUCAGUUGCCAUCAUUCAGUUGGGCACUCUGAAGGAACUGCCGGUGGUAAGCCGGAGGAAGGUGUGGAUGACGUCAAGUCCUCAUGGCCCUUACGGGUUGGGCUACACACGUGCUACAAUGGUGGUGACAAUGGGAUAAUCCCAAAAAGCCAUCUCAGUUCGGAUUGGGGUCUGCAACUCGACCCCAUGAAGUCGGAAUCGCUAGUAAUCGCGUAACAGCAUGACGCGGUGAAUACGUUCCCGGGCCUU
This 449-nucleotide ribosomal RNA is filed under the name uncultured Rhodobacter sp. Its description in RNAcentral is "bacterial SSU rRNA". It matches the Rfam family "Bacterial small subunit ribosomal RNA", at positions 915 to 1382 of the family's 1533-position model. Lineage: Bacteria; Pseudomonadati; Pseudomonadota; Alphaproteobacteria; Rhodobacterales. The record is from RNAcentral.